GACGAACGCUGGCGGCGUGCUUAACACAUGCAAGUCGAACGGAAAGGCCCUGCUUUUGUGGGGUGCUCGAGUGGCGAACGGGUGAGUAACACGUGAGUAACCUGCCCUUGACUUUGGGAUAACUUCAGGAAACUGGGGCUAAUACCGGAUAGGAGCUCCUGCUGCAUGGUGGGGGUUGGAAAGUUUCGGCGGUUGGGGAUGGACUCGCGGCUUAUCAGCUUGUUGGUGGGGUAGUGGCUUACCAAGGCUUUGACGGGUAGCCGGCCUGAGAGGGUGACCGGGCACAUUGGGACUGAGAGACGGCGCAGACGCCUACGGUAGGCAGCAGUGGGGAAUAUUGCACAAUGGGCGGAAGCCGGAGGCAGAAACGUCGCGUGCGGGAUGACGGUCUUCUGGUUGUAAACCGCUUUCGCCUGUGACGAAGCGGGAGUGACGGUAAUGGGUAAAGAAGCACCGGCUAACUACGUG
RNAcentral lists this ribosomal RNA (468 nucleotides) under uncultured bacterium. Its description in RNAcentral is "partial 16S ribosomal RNA". It matches the Rfam family "Bacterial small subunit ribosomal RNA", at positions 28 to 507 of the family's 1533-position model. The record is from RNAcentral.